This 107-nucleotide small nuclear RNA is filed under the name Urocitellus parryii (Arctic ground squirrel). The record is from RNAcentral. Lineage: Eukaryota; Metazoa; Chordata; Mammalia; Rodentia; Sciuridae.
GUACUCAUUUCAGCAGCACAUAUACUAAAAUUGGAACAAUAAAGAGAAUAUUAGCAUGGUCCCUGAGCAAGGAUGACAUACAACUUCAUGAAGCAUUCCAUAUUUUU